CUACGGGGGGCAGCAGUGGGGAAUAUUGCACAAUGGGCGCAAGCCUGAUGCAGCCAUGCCGCGUGUGUGAAGAAGGCCUUCGGGUUGUAAAGCACUUUCAGCGGGGAGGAAGGCGGUGAGGUUAAUAACCUCAUCGAUUGACGUUACCCGCAGAAGAAGCACCGGCUAACUCCGUGCCAGCAGCCGCGGUAAUACGGAGGGUGCAAGCGUUAAUCGGAAUUACUGGGCGUAAAGCGCACGCAGGCGGUCUGUCAAGUCGGAUGUGAAAUCCCCGGGCUCAACCUGGGAACUGCAUUCGAAACUGGCAGGCUAGAGUCUUGUAGAGGGGGUAGAAUUCCAGGUGUAGCGGUGAAAUGCGUAGAGAUCUGGAGGAAUACCGGUGGCGAAGGCGGCCCCCUGGACAAAGACUGACGCUCAGGUGCGAAAGCGUGGGGAGCAAACAGGAUUAGAUACCCGAGUAGUC
This 463-nucleotide ribosomal RNA is filed under the name uncultured Klebsiella sp. RNAcentral's name for it is "bacterial SSU rRNA". It matches the Rfam family "Bacterial small subunit ribosomal RNA", at positions 339 to 795 of the family's 1533-position model. Lineage: Bacteria; Pseudomonadati; Pseudomonadota; Gammaproteobacteria; Enterobacterales; Enterobacteriaceae. The record is from RNAcentral.